CUGAACCUCACCUGAUCCUGUUUGGUCGGGGGCAGACGCACCUGAGCUGAACCCCACCUGAUCCGGACAUCCUGCUGGUCCCGUCUCCUCAGUUCAUCUGAGCCUCUUCCUCCAGAAGACAUGCUGAGCUCGGCGGUCUGAGGCUGAUGUAUCAAUGACCUCCAGUGGGAGUGAUCUUCUUGACCCCACAUGUAGCCGUGUGCUUCCACACGCCUUUCCCUCACGUCUGUCACUAACCUCAUUACUUCACUACUCUCUACUCCUUCUCCUUCUUCUUCCUUCUCCGUGGUUCGAACCUUUACUCUGAAGGAGAAUCUCCUUGAACCUUUACACUGAAGGAGCGUCUUCCUGUCCUCAGAGGGUUCAGCGUUAGGGUUGAGAGUCAGGGUUUAGAGUCAGGGACAGAGCUGGUCAGGGAGGGCUGGUUUUACAUAAACCUUUUCACUUGCUUUCUGAAUGGUGGUGACAUUUUGAAAAGAUUAAUUUGGGAAAAUGUUUUCCUCUUUUUUUGCUUUACAAAAAUAUGUAUUAAACUUCUGUGUUUGUAACCAGACCAGGUAUCCAUGGCUGAAGGAGCUGAUGGUGGAGCCGUGCUGAAAGAGCGGAUGGAGGAGCCGUGCUGACGGCCCUGCCUGGUGGAGGAGCCGUGCAGACGGCCCUGCCUGGUGGAGGAGCCGUGCUGACGGCCCUGCCUGGUGGAGGAUGUCUGUCGUGGGACCAGGACUCUGUCUGAGGAGAGCAGAUGGAGGAGCUGAGAUGCUGGAGGACAACUAGGAAUCGACCAACAAGGAUUCUUCAACGUGUUUCUGGAGCGGAGGCCAGCUGGUAGGGGAGCCGUGAAUCUGGAGGAUGACCAUCACUCUACCAACAAGGAUUACUUUAGGGCCAGACUCGCGCUGUUUGUUCCAGACCAGGACUCUGGCUGAGGAGAGCUGAUGGAGGAGCCAAGACUCUGUAGGACGACAUCACUCCACCAACCAGGAUCCUCAGACAAAUUACGUUUGUAACCAGACCAGGAAUCUGGAGGACUGACGGAGAAGCUGUACAUCUAGAAGGCAAAUCCUGAGGACGAUCAGGACUCUACCAUCAAGGAUUCCUCACACACAUGAGCUGAACCUCACCUGAUCCUGUUUGGUCGGGGGCAGACGCACCUGAGCUGAACCCCACCUGAUCCGGACAUCCUGCUGGUCCCGUCUCCUCAGUUCAUCUGAGCCUCUUCCUCCAGAAGACAUGCUGAGCUCGGCGGUCUGAGGCUGAUGUAUCAAUGACCUCCAGUGGGAGUGAUCUUCUUGACCCCACAUGUAGCCGUGUGCUUCCACACGCCUUUCCCUCACGUCUGUCACUAACCUCAUUACUUCACUACUCUCUACUCCUUCUCCUUCUUCUUCCUUCUCCGUGGUUCGAACCUUUACUCUGAAGGAGUGUCUCCUUGAACCUUUACACUGAAGGAGCGUCUUUCUGUCCUCGGAGGGUUCAGCGUUAGGGUUGAGAGUCAGGGUUUAGAGUCAGGGACAGAGCUGGUCAGGGAGGGCUGGUUUUACAUAAACCUUUUCACUUGCUUUCUGAAUGGUGGUGACAUUUUGAAAAGAUUAAUUUGGGAAAAUGUUUUCCUCUUUUUUUGCUUUACAAAAAUAUGUAUUAAACUUCUGUGUUUGUAACCAGACCAGGUAUCCAUGGCUGAAGGAGCUGAUGGUGGAGCCGUGCUGAAAGAGCGGAUGGAGGAGCCGUGCUGACGGCCCUGCCUGGUGGAGGAGCCGUGCUGACGGCCCUGCCUGGUGGAGGAGCCGUGCUGACGGCCCUGCCUGGUGGAGGAUGUCUGUCGUGGGGUAGAUGGAGCCUGACUCUGUGACAUCACACUCACUGCCACUUCUCGUAGAAUACUGCUACCACAAACCACCGGCGUUUGUAACAAUAUACCAGACGACUACAUCUGUUUUACCACAUGUUGAAGCAAGACUUCUGCUGUUUGUUCCAGACCAGGACUCUGUCUGAGGAGAGCAGAUGGAGGAGCUGAGAUGCUGGAGGACAACUAGGAAUCGACCAACAAGGAUUCUUCAACGUGUUUCUGGAGCGGAGGCCAGCUGGUAGGGGAGCCGUGAAUCUGGAGGAUGACCAUCACUCUACCAACAAGGAUUACUUUAGGGCCAGACUCGCGCUGUUUGUUCCAGACCAGGACUCUGGCUGAGGAGAGCUGAUGGAGGAGCCAAGACUCUGUAGGACGACAUCACUCCACCAACCAGGAUCCUCACCAGGAAUCUGGAGGACUGACGGAGAAGCUGUACAUCUGGAAGGCAAAUCCUGAGGACGAUCAGGACUCUACCAUCAAGGAUUCCUCACACACAUGAGCUGAACCUCACCUGAUCCUGUUUGGUCGGGGGCAGACGCACCUGAGCUGAACCCACCUGAUCCGGACAUCCUGCUGGUCCCGUCUCCUCAGUUCAUCUGAGCCUCUUCCUCCAGAAGACAUGCUGCGCUCGGCGGUCUGAGGCUGAUGUAUCAAUGACCUCCAGUGGGAGUGAUCUUCUUGACCCCACAUGUAGCCGUGUGCUUCCACACGCCUUUCCCUCACGUCUGUCACUAACCUCAUUACUUCACUACUCUCUACUCCUUCUCCUUCUUCCUUCUCCGUGGUUCGAACCUUUACUCUGAAGGAGUGUCUCCUUGAACAUUUACACUGAAGGAGCGUCUUCCUGUCCUCAGAGGGUUCAGCGUUAGGGUUGAGAGUCAGGGUUUAGAGUCAGGGACAGAGCUGGUCAGGGAGGGCUGGUUUUACAUAAACCUUUUCACUUGCAUUCUGAAUGGUGGUGACAAUUUGGGAAAAUGUUUUCCUCUUUUUUUGCUUUACAAAAAUAUGUAUUAAACUUCUGUGUUUGUAACCAGACCAGGUAUCCAUGGCUGAAGGAGCUGAUGGUGGAGCCGUGCUGAAAGAGCGGAUGGAGGAGCCGGGCUGACGGCCCUGCCUGGUGGAGGAGCCGUGCUGACGGCCCUGCCUGGUGGAGGAGCCGUGCUGACGGCCCUGCCUGGUGGAGGAGCCGUGCUGACGGCCCUGCCUGGUGGAGGAUGUCUGUCGUGGGUUAGAUGGAGCCUGACUCUGUGACAUCAAACUCACUGCCACUUCUCGUAGAAUACUUCUACCACAAACCACCGGCGUUUGUAACAAUAUACCAGACGACUACAUCUGUUUUACCACAUGUUGAAGCAAGACUUCUGCUGUUUGUUCCAGACCAGGACUCUGGCUGAGGAGAGCUGAUGGAGGAGCCAAGACUCUGUAGGACGGCAUCACUCCACCAACCAGGAUCCUCAGACGAAUUACGUUUGUAACCAGACCAGGAAUCUGGAGGACUGAUGGAGAAGCCGUACAUCUGGAAGGCAAAUCCUGAGGACCAGCAGGACUCUACCAUCAAGGAUUCCUCAUAAGUUUGCAUUAUCUGGACAAAGUGGCCUAGACACACCUGAGCUGAACCUCACCUGAUCCUGUUUGGUCGGGGGUAGACACACCUGAGCUAAACCCACCCUGAUCCUGACAUCCUGCUGGUCCAGUCUCCUCAGUUCUCCUGAGCCUCGUCCCAGGCUGAUGGAUCAAUGGCCUCCAGUGGGAGGGAUCUUCUUGACCCCACUUGUAACCGUGUGCUUCCACACGCCUUUCCCUCACAUCUGUCACUAACCUCACUACUUCACUACUCUCUACUGCUUCCUCUUUUCUUCCUUCUCUGUGGUUUAAACCUUUUAUACUGAAGGCGCGUCUUCCUGCCCUCAGAGGGUUUAGCGUUAGGGUUGAGAGUCAGGGUUUAGAGUCAGGGACAGAGCUGGUCAGGGAGGACUGCUUUUACACAAACCUCUUGACUUGCUUUCGGAAUGGUGGUGACAUUUUGAAAAGAUUCAUUUGGUAAAAUCUUUUCCUCUGCUUCCCUUUACAAAAUUGUAUCAAACUUCUGUCAAGUGUUUUUGUUUAAAUAUUAAAAUCCCACAUUGACUUCUACAUGUUUGGUGCGGUUCAUUUAUUUGUCCUUUUAACUUGGUUAAUGUCAAGCUAAACUCCUGCAAUACAUUGAUAUACAUGAUUGUUAUUCAACAAUGUUCACAUAAUCCAUUUUGUAAAAAUAGGAAACCCCAAUAUUACUACUAAAUUCAAGCCUAUUCAUGUAUUUAAAGGCCCACUAUGCAAGAUCGGGAAUUUCUUCGCUGUUUUCUUGGUUUGGCACGCACCUUUCUCUACACAGCGCCCCCUACAGCUUCGUAGUAGAUAUUUUACAACACUGUCGUAACAACUCGUUGACGACCCUUCCCCAUGCACUUCUACGCUAGCCAUGUGCAUUUGUUUUCAAAGAAGCCGGCGAAUGCGUGGAGCUG
This is a long non-coding RNA of Gadus chalcogrammus (walleye pollock), 4350 nucleotides long. RefSeq lists it as uncharacterized. NCBI's taxonomy places the organism in Eukaryota, Metazoa, Chordata, Actinopteri, Gadiformes, Gadidae. The transcript has 12 exons. The record is from RefSeq and is a predicted model, not a curated record.